RNAcentral lists this ribosomal RNA (462 nucleotides) under Micrococcus sp. NASA2-33. RNAcentral describes it as "bacterial SSU rRNA". It matches the Rfam family "Bacterial small subunit ribosomal RNA", at positions 1024 to 1483 of the family's 1533-position model. The record is from RNAcentral. Lineage: Bacteria; Bacillati; Actinomycetota; Actinomycetes; Micrococcales; Micrococcaceae.
GGGCGGGUUCACAGGUGGUGCAUGGUUGUCGUCAGCUCGUGUCGUGAGAUGUUGGGUUAAGUCCCGCAACGAGCGCAACCCUCGUUCCAUGUUGCCAGCACGUAAUGGUGGGGACUCAUGGGAGACUGCCGGGGUCAACUCGGAGGAAGGUGAGGACGACGUCAAAUCAUCAUGCCCCUUAUGUCUUGGGCUUCACGCAUGCUACAAUGGCCGGUACAAUGGGUUGCGAUACUGUGAGGUGGAGCUAAUCCCAAAAAGCCGGUCUCAGUUCGGAUUGGGGUCUGCAACUCGACCCCAUGAAGUCGGAGUCGCUAGUAAUCGCAGAUCAGCAACGCUGCGGUGAAUACGUUCCCGGGCCUUGUACACACCGCCCGUCAAGUCACGAAAGUUGGUAACACCCGAAGCCGGUGGCCUAACCCUUGUGGGGGGAGCCGUCGAAGGUGGGACCAGCGAUUGGGACUU